RNAcentral lists this ribosomal RNA (253 nucleotides) under uncultured Eubacteriales bacterium. RNAcentral describes it as "uncultured Clostridiales bacterium partial 16S ribosomal RNA". It matches the Rfam family "Bacterial small subunit ribosomal RNA", at positions 524 to 776 of the family's 1533-position model. Lineage: Bacteria; Bacillati; Bacillota; Clostridia; Eubacteriales. The record is from RNAcentral.
UACGGAGGAUGCGAGCGUUAUCCGGAUUUAUUGGGUGUAAAGGGAGCGUAGACGGCACUGCAAGUCCGGAGUGAAAGCCCAAGGCUUAACCAUGGGACUGCUCUGGAAACUGUGGAGCUUGAGUGCGGGAGAGGCAGACGGAAUUCCUAGUGUAGCGGUGAAAUGCGUAGAUAUUAGGAGGAACACCAGUGGCGAAGGCGGUCUGCUGGACAGCAACUGACGGUGAGGCGCGAAAGCGUGGGGAGCAAACAGG